GACGAACGCUGGCGGCGUGCUUAACACAUGCAAGUCGAACGGAAAGGCCCUUCGGGGUACUCGAGUGGCGAACGGGUGAGUAACACGUGGGUGAUCUGCCCUGCACUUUGGGAUAAGCCUGGGAAACUGGGUCUAAUACCGAAUAGGACCACGCGCUUCAUGGUGUGUGGUGGAAAGCUUUUGCGGUGUGGGAUGGGCCCGCGGCCUAUCAGCUUGUUGGUGGGGUAAUGGCCUACCAAGGCGACGACGGGUAGCCGGCCUGAGAGGGUGACCGGCCACACUGGGACUGAGAUACGGCCCAGACUCCUACGGGAGGCAGCAGUGGGGAAUACUGCACAAUGGGCGCAAGCCUGAUGCAGCGACGCCGCGUGAGGGAUGACGGCCUUCGGGUUGUAAACCUCUUUCACCAGGGACGAAGCGUAAGUGACGGUACCUGGAGAAGAAGCACCGGCCAACUACGUG
This 462-nucleotide ribosomal RNA is filed under the name uncultured bacterium. Its description in RNAcentral is "partial 16S ribosomal RNA". It matches the Rfam family "Bacterial small subunit ribosomal RNA", at positions 28 to 507 of the family's 1533-position model. The record is from RNAcentral.